CAUAUCUCAGAAUGGCAGCUGGAGAGUUUCCAGUACUCUACCAGUCUCGGCUAGGGGAGGGAGAGUCGGGCAGGGGCCUACCCGUUCCAUUCCUAGCUUGGCAGUGGCUAGCAAAUGGAAGACAGUCUGCUACAAGU
Molecule: small nucleolar RNA, 137 nt
Organism: Ornithorhynchus anatinus (platypus)
Lineage: Eukaryota; Metazoa; Chordata; Mammalia; Monotremata; Ornithorhynchidae
Source: RefSeq, a predicted model, not a curated record